RNAcentral lists this ribosomal RNA (555 nucleotides) under Vibrio breoganii. RNAcentral's name for it is "bacterial SSU rRNA". It matches the Rfam family "Bacterial small subunit ribosomal RNA", at positions 240 to 787 of the family's 1533-position model. Lineage: Bacteria; Pseudomonadati; Pseudomonadota; Gammaproteobacteria; Vibrionales; Vibrionaceae. The record is from RNAcentral.
AUUAGCUAGUUGGUGAGGUAAUGGCUCACCAAGGCGACGAUCCCUAGCUGGUCUGAGAGGAUGAUCAGCCACACUGGAACUGAGACACGGUCCAGACUCCUACGGGAGGCAGCAGUGGGGAAUAUUGCACAAUGGGCGCAAGCCUGAUGCAGCCAUGCCGCGUGUAUGAAGAAGGCCUUCGGGUUGUAAAGUACUUUCAGUCGUGAGGAAGGCAUUAGAGUUAAUAGCUUUAGUGUUUGACGUUAGCGACAGAAGAAGCACCGGCUAACUCCGUGCCAGCAGCCGCGGUAAUACGGAGGGUGCGAGCGUUAAUCGGAAUUACUGGGCGUAAAGCGCAUGCAGGUGGUUUGUUAAGUCAGAUGUGAAAGCCCGGGGCUCAACCUCGGAACCGCAUUUGAAACUGGCAGGCUAGAGUACUGUAGAGGGGGGUAGAAUUUCAGGUGUAGCGGUGAAAUGCGUAGAGAUCUGAAGGAAUACCAGUGGCGAAGGCGGCCCCCUGGACAGAUACUGACACUCAGAUGCGAAAGCGUGGGGAGCAAACAGGAUUAGAUACCC